GUAACAUUGUGCUUGCACAGAUGACGACCGGCGCACGGGUGCGUAACGCGUAUAGAACCUACCUUUUACAGAGGAACAGCCUUUAGAAAUGAAGAUUAAUGCCUCAUGGUAUUGUAGACUGGCAUCAGUUUAUAAUUAAAGAUUUAUCGGUAAAAGAUGGCUAUGCGUCCUAUUAGUUAGUUGGUAAGGUAACGGCUUACCAAGACAGCGAUAGGUAGGGGUCCUGAAAGGGAGAUCCCCCACACUGGUACUGAGACACGGACCAGACUCCUACGGGAGGCAGCAGUGAGGAAUAUUGGACAAUGGAGGAGACUCUGAUCCAGCCAUGCCGCGUGUAGGAAGAAUGCCCUGUGGGUUGUAAACUACUUUUAUACAGGAAGAAACACUGGUAUGUAUACCAGCUUGACGGUACUGUAAGAAUAAGGACCGGCUAACUCCGUGCCAGCAGCCGCGGUAAUACGGAGGGUCCGAGCGUUAUCCGGAAUCAUUGGGUUUAAAGGGUCCGCAGGCGGUCGAUUAAGUCAGAGGUGAAAUCCCAUAGCUCAACUAUGGAACUGCCUUUGAUACUGGUUGACUUGAGUCAUAUGGAAGUAGAUAGAAUGUGUAGUGUAGCGGUGAAAUGCAUAGAUAUUACACAGAAUACCGAUUGCGAAGGCAGUCUACUACGUAUGUACUGACGCUGAGGGACGAAAGCGUGGGGG
This 701-nucleotide ribosomal RNA is filed under the name uncultured bacterium. RNAcentral's name for it is "bacterial SSU rRNA". It matches the Rfam family "Bacterial small subunit ribosomal RNA", at positions 69 to 767 of the family's 1533-position model. The record is from RNAcentral.